Molecule: ribosomal RNA, 400 nt
Filed under: phytoplankton environmental sample
Lineage: Eukaryota
Description: partial small subunit ribosomal RNA
Rfam family: Eukaryotic small subunit ribosomal RNA
Source: RNAcentral
AGCUCUGAAGGUGUAUACCACCGUUGUUGCGGUUAAAACGCUCGUAGUUGGAUCUAUGUCUGUGGAGUCGGUGCUCUCUGAAGAGAGCUACUGACUACCUGGACUGAUACAGCUGGUUUUCCCUUGGUGCUCUUUACUGGGUGCCUUGGGUGGCUAGCAAGUUUACUUUGAAAAAAUUAGAGUGCUCAAAACAGGCGAUUGCCUGAAUAGUGGUGCAUGGAAUAAUGGAAUAGGAUCUUGGUCCUAUUUUGUUGGUUUUCGGGAGCCAAGAUAAUGAUUAAGAGGGACAGACGGGGGCAUUCGUAUUGCAGCGUUAGAGGUGAAAUUCUUGGAUCGUUGCAAGACGAACAACUGCGAAAGCAUUUGCCAAGAAUGUUUUCAUUAAUCAAGAACGAAAGUA